This 75-nucleotide transfer RNA is filed under the name Candidatus Saccharimonadota bacterium. Its description in RNAcentral is "tRNA-Gly". It matches the Rfam family "tRNA". Rfam says of the family: Transfer RNA (tRNA) molecules are approximately 80 nucleotides in length. Their secondary structure includes four short double-helical elements and three loops (D, anti-codon, and T loops). Further hydrogen bonds mediate the characteristic L-shaped molecular structure. tRNAs have two regions of fundamental functional importance: the anti-codon, which is responsible for specific mRNA codon recognition, and the 3' end, to which the tRNAs corresponding amino acid is attached (by aminoacyl-tRNA synthetases). tRNAs cope with the degeneracy of the genetic code in two manners: having more than one tRNA (with a specific anti-codon) for a particular amino acid; and 'wobble' base-pairing, i.e. permitting non-standard base-pairing at the 3rd anti-codon position. The record is from RNAcentral. Lineage: Bacteria; Candidatus Saccharimonadota.
GCGAGCGUGGUGUCAUAGGUAACACGCCUGGCUGCCAGCCAGGAGCAGUGAGUUCGAAUCUCACCGUUCGUACCA